Molecule: long non-coding RNA, 1090 nt
Organism: Solanum tuberosum (potato)
Lineage: Eukaryota; Viridiplantae; Streptophyta; Magnoliopsida; Solanales; Solanaceae
Exons: 2
Source: RefSeq, a predicted model, not a curated record
GUUCCAUCAAACUUUAUUCAAUGCAAUAUAUUAAAUUCAAGAAACAACUCUAUUUUUCUACCUUCAAAUUAACUCCUCUCAUCUAAUUCUAUACCAAAUUCUUCUCUAUUUCCCCCCCUGUUAUAAUCACACAAUUAAUUCUGCACUAAAUUUCCCUUCUCCUACACAUUAUAUAAAUCUUGUCAAUCUUUUCCAUUUUCUCCAAACAACUCCCUUUUGCCUAUACAAAGAUUCAGGGGAUUCUUGAUAAAGUUGUUCAAAUUAGAAAGGAAAAAAAAUGAACUACAGAAGGGAGAGUAGUCAUGAUCCAAAGCUUGAUUUGAAGCUGAAUUUAUCUCCACCUAGGGAAAAUAAUAAUAAUAAUAUUUUUCCAAUAUCACCAAGCAGAUCAUCGUCAUCGUAUACUUCUUCAAUGGAAAGAUCACCAGCAAGUUCGUGUAUUUCAAGGGAACCUACUCCAGAUGAUCAUAAUCAUCAACAAUUUUUUGGUAGCCCAGAAGCAACAACUACUUCAAUGAUGUUAGUGGGAUGUCCAAGAUGUUUAAUGUAUGUUAUGUUAUCAGUCAAAGAUCCAAAAUGCCCAAAAUGUAAGAGCUCUGUUUUGCUUGAUUUUUUCCGCGAGGAUAGAAUCAAGAAUACAAAAAAUUGAUGAUCAUCGUGAAGAAAUGCGAGGAAUCUCAGUAGUUCAGUUGGUUGACUUUUUGAACUGUCAUGGUGACUGUGAUUCCUCAGUUGGUUGACUUUUUGAACUGUCACCUUGUUGGUGAGAGUUGGAUUUCUCAGCUAAUUAAAAAAAAAUAAUAUAUAUAUAUAUAUUAUAUAUAAAACCCUUUACUGAGGUUAAUUAGGUUUUAGUAGUGUUUAAUUUCUUUAUAUAUGUUGUAAUCCCUUUUGUCUUUUUGGUUGCUUAGAAGAUAGAAGGGAGGAAAGAACUUUUUUUUUUGAGAGUUUGUUGAGGUAAUUGAAUGGAUUUGAUGAAAAUCUUGAAUGUAACCAAAGAGGCUAGUAUGGUUUUGGUUGCAAGUCAUAUUAUGGUCAUAAUAUUAAUUCAUUCAUGUUUUAGUAGCUCUUGGUUGCUAUCUUUACUAAA